This 845-nucleotide ribosomal RNA is filed under the name Niphargus wexfordensis. RNAcentral describes it as "partial 28S ribosomal RNA". Lineage: Eukaryota; Metazoa; Arthropoda; Malacostraca; Amphipoda; Niphargidae. The record is from RNAcentral.
AAGAGAGAGUCAAAAGACCGUGAAACCGCUCAGAGUAUAAGCCAAUGGAGCUUGGAAGGCUUCCGCAGUCCCGGGCAUCACACGUGGUGUCCGUAAGACCUGAAGCACGGUUCGUGAGGCGGAGCAUUGAGUUUGCCGCUUAGCUGUCGUGCGGGGGUCCGGUUCGGGUGCACUAGGCUUCGGCCGAAAUGCGCCCGGCCGUUCCCUUUUGAAUGGACGUUCAGAGCUUCUGUGUCUAAUGCGGUUACGCCCACCACGGCACGUUGUGAGGUCACCCACAGGCUCAAACUGCCGAUCGCGAAUCCAGGACGAUGGCAACGAUGCGUAGCUCUUGUACGGCGCAAGCCAUGUGCAAUCACGCGUGUCUAGUCCUGGGUCGGGCGGCGACCGAGAUAAACCUGGUACGAUCCUCUUGCGACGAGCUGCUUUCUGGCCAGACCGACGCCCAGGCACUCUUCCACUGUGCCGGAAGGUGUCCAUCCCAGGCGGUAUGAACCCAGCUGCAUUACGCAAGGUCUCUCAGCCGGGCGUUGGUCUGAGUGGUGUCAAGUCCAGCACCGUCGGUCACGUCUCGAAACACGGGCCAAGGAGUAUAGCAUGUGUGCAAGUCUAAGGGUCUCACAAAACCCGAAGGCGAAGUGAAAGCAAGACUGUGGCGGGGGAGCCACGGCGAACCCGCCGGCCUGGUGCGCGGCGCUUCACGGCGUCGCGCCCGGCUUUUGGCAGAGCUGAUCCUGUUUUCACGGUUGAUUCUUGGUGCAGGCGCAAGCUCCGGGCUCACGUACAACACCGGUCACGCGCACCUCGCGUGUGCGUGGCUGUGUUGUGAGCACCGUGGAGCAUGC